GAUGAACGCUGGCGGCGUGCCUAAUACAUGCAAGUCGAGCGAACGGACGAGAAGCUUGCUUCUCUGAUGUUAGCGGCGGACGGGUGAGUAACACGCGGAUAACCUACCUAUAAGACUGGGAUAACUUCGGGAAACCGUAGCUAAUACCAGAUAAUAUUUUGAACCGCAUGGUUCAAAAGUGAAAGACGGUCUUGCUGUCACUUAUAGAUGGAUCCGCGCUGCAUUAGCUAGUUGGUAAGGUAACGGCUUACCAAGGCAACGAUGCAUAGCCGACCUGAGAGGGUGAUCGGCCACACUGGAACUGAGACACGGUCCAGACUCCUACGGGAGGCAGCAGUAGGGAAUCUUCCGCAAUGGGCGAAAGCCUGACGGAGCAACGCCGCGUGAGUGAUGAAGGUCUUCGGAUCGUAAAACUCUGUUAUUAGGGAAGAACAUAUGUGUAAGUAACUGUGCACAUCUUGACGGUACCUAAUCAGAAAGCCACGGCUAACUACGUG
Molecule: ribosomal RNA, 497 nt
Filed under: uncultured bacterium
Lineage: Bacteria
Description: partial 16S ribosomal RNA
Rfam family: Bacterial small subunit ribosomal RNA
Source: RNAcentral